Molecule: ribosomal RNA, 324 nt
Filed under: uncultured eukaryote
Lineage: Eukaryota
Description: partial 18S ribosomal RNA
Rfam family: Eukaryotic small subunit ribosomal RNA
Source: RNAcentral
CCCUUAGAUGUUCUGGGCUGCACGCGCGCUACACUGAAGCUAUCAACACGUUUUCCCUCCCUGAGAAGGGCGGGUAACCUUCUGAAUCAGCUUCGUGGUAGGGAUCGGGGCUUGCAAUUGUUCCCCGUGAACCAGGAAUUCCUAGUAGACGCGAGUCAUAAGCUCGCAUCGAUUAAGUCCCUGCCCUUUGUACACACCGCCCGUCGCUACCACCGAUUGAACGUUUUAGUGAGGCAUUUGGACCGACGCAUCUCAGUUUAACCGCUGGUUUGUGUUGGAAAGACUUCCAAACUUGAGCGUUUAGAGGAAGUAAAAGUCGUAACA